UUAACUCUGUAUGUUUGGGCUUUGGCUAUAGUCAAAUAUAUUUUCUGGAAUAUCUUUCUGUUUGAUGCUCAAUUCUUUGCUUGUACUGCUUUGUUAGAUCAUAAUUUGCUUUAGUUCAAAGUUUUGAAUACUUUUUGUUAAAAGAAAUUGGAUUUUGAUUUUUUUGCUUUUAGACAUUAUUGGUGUUUUUGAGAGUUAUAUUCUUAUUUAUGUAUAGAGUACUCUCGAUCUCUCUGUCGUCGCACCCUCACCUCGCCCUCACUCUCGGUCUGCUCUCCGAUCUCUCCCCGAUCUCUCAGACGCCGAAGCCCAGAAAUUGAAGGAGUAUCUCUUGGAAAUUCGGUCACUGGUAUAAUAUAAUUUUGUGGCAUCAAGACGAACCCGGACCUCAUUGAGUCAUGGAAGGAUUAUCAUUGGAAGAAAGCAACAAAUGAUUUCGUGAACGAUGAUGCUCGCCAAGAUUAUGAAAAACUGAAGGCUGAUUUUGAGUUACAAACUCAGCAAACAUCCAUUGAUGCUUCUAAUAAUGAUAGUCUGUCAUCAGUUGAUCAGGUGGAGGUGUUACAAAAAGUAUUAGGCAAAAGGCGUGGACAUGUGCGAGGAGUGGGCCGCAAAUUGAAGGGGUCGGGGUCAUCAUCUACCCAACACUCUCACUUCAGCGAGUCUCAAGUUCCUCCUCAUCAUUCAAGAGAAUAUAUAGAAAAAUUGGAGAAUAAUCUAUAGAAAUUGACUGAUCAAGUUAAUUUCUUAACUCAAUAUUUUGUACCUUCAUUUCGUCCACCAAACGUUCAGAUGCCGCCUGUGCCUGAUAGUGACAAUAUUUAUAGGGCUUCGUCUUCUCAACCUCCAGCUCCAACUCAUCCUUCUAUGUACGAGGCAGCGCCGUCUCAACAUAUGGUACCUCCAUAUAUGUACGGAGCAACACCUUAUCCGUGUCCGAUUCCACCGUCCUCCCAGCCAUCGUAUCCCUACAUGUAUG
Molecule: long non-coding RNA, 979 nt
Organism: Humulus lupulus (European hop)
Lineage: Eukaryota; Viridiplantae; Streptophyta; Magnoliopsida; Rosales; Cannabaceae
Exons: 4
Source: RefSeq, a predicted model, not a curated record